RNAcentral lists this unclassified non-coding RNA (220 nucleotides) under uncultured Actinomycetes bacterium. RNAcentral describes it as "uncultured actinobacterium contains 16S-23S intergenic spacer region". Lineage: Bacteria; Bacillati; Actinomycetota; Actinomycetes. The record is from RNAcentral.
UCCGAGUUGUCCCCGGCAGUCUCCUUAGAGUCCCCACCAUUACGUGCUGGCAACUAAGGACAGGGGUUGCGCUCGUUGCGGCACUUAAGCCAACACCUCACGGCACGAGCUGACGACAGCCAUGCAGCACCUGUGCUAGCCCCAAAAGGACACGGGCUUUCACCCGCUUUAACUAGCAUGUCAAGCCUAGGUAAGGUGGGGAUGACGUAGCUAAGCCUUC